RNAcentral lists this ribosomal RNA (255 nucleotides) under Clostridioides difficile. RNAcentral describes it as "partial 23S ribosomal RNA". It matches the Rfam family "Bacterial large subunit ribosomal RNA", at positions 2598 to 2855 of the family's 2925-position model. The record is from RNAcentral. Lineage: Bacteria; Bacillati; Bacillota; Clostridia; Peptostreptococcales; Peptostreptococcaceae.
ACGCGAGCUGGGUUCAGAACGUCGUGAGACAGUUCGGUCCCUAUCCGUCGCAGGCGUAGGAAAUUUGAGAAGACCUGUCCUUAGUACGAGAGGACCGGGAUGGACGUACCUCUGGUGUACCAGUUGUCCUGCCAAGGGCAUGGCUGGGUAGCUAUGUACGGAAUGGAUAAGCGCUGAAAGCAUCUAAGCGCGAAGCCAACUUCAAGAUAAGAUUUCCCACCGCAAGGGUAAGACCCCAGAAAGACUAUCUGGUUG